UACAGAGGUCCCAAGCGUUAGGCGGAAUCACUGGGCUUAAAGCGUGUGUAGGCGGAUUGGUAAGUACCUUGUGAAAUCCCACGGCUCAACCGUGGAACUGCUUGGUAUACUGCCUGUCUUGAGCCACUUAGGGGCUGUCGGAACGAGCGGUGGAGCGGUGAAAUGCGUAGAUAUCGCUUGGAACGCCAACGGUGAAAACAGACAGCUGGGAGUGUGCUGACGCUGAGACACGAAAGCCAGGGGAGCGAACGGG
RNAcentral lists this ribosomal RNA (253 nucleotides) under uncultured bacterium. RNAcentral describes it as "partial 16S ribosomal RNA". It matches the Rfam family "Bacterial small subunit ribosomal RNA", at positions 524 to 776 of the family's 1533-position model. The record is from RNAcentral.